UGCCUCAGUAACGGCGAGUGAAGCGGCAAAAGCUCAAAUUUGAAAUCCCCCCGGGGAGUUGUAAUUUGAAGAUUGCGUCUUGGAGGCGACCGUGUCUAUGUUCCUUGGAACAGGACGUCACAGAGGGUGAGAAUCCCGUGCGGCACGGCCCCCGGCUCCUUAUAAGGCGCUCUCGACGAGUCGAGUUGUUUGGGAAUGCAGCUCAAAGUGGGUGGUAAAUUCCAUCUAAAGCUAAAUACAGGCGAGAGACCGAUAGCGAACAAGUACAGUGAUGGAAAGAUGAAAAGCACUUUGAAAAGAGAGUGAAACAGCACGUGAAAUUGUUGAAAGGGAAGGGCAUGCCGUCAGAUUGUCAGUGUGGGUAAGAAGCGGGGUACAAAGACUGUGGAACGUGGCCCUCGGGUGUUAUAGCCGCAGUUCAUGCCCCGUCUCUUUCCGAGGCCUGCUUUGAGGACACCGACGUAAUGACGGUACGCCGCCCGUCUUGAAACACGGACC
RNAcentral lists this ribosomal RNA (498 nucleotides) under Kodamaea ohmeri. RNAcentral describes it as "eukaryotic LSU rRNA". It matches the Rfam family "Eukaryotic large subunit ribosomal RNA", at positions 76 to 667 of the family's 3401-position model. The record is from RNAcentral. Lineage: Eukaryota; Fungi; Ascomycota; Pichiomycetes; Serinales; Debaryomycetaceae.